Molecule: ribosomal RNA, 356 nt
Filed under: uncultured bacterium
Lineage: Bacteria
Description: partial 16S ribosomal RNA
Rfam family: Bacterial small subunit ribosomal RNA
Source: RNAcentral
CCUACGGGUGGCAGCAGUGAGGAAUAUUGGUCAAUGGGCGAGAGCCUGAACCAGCCAAGUCGCGUGAAGGAUGAAGGCUCUAUGGUUUGUAAACUUCUUUUAUAGGGGGGUAAAGUGAGGAACGUGUACCUUUUUGUAUGUACCAUAUGAAUAAGGAUCGGCUAACUCCGUGCCAGCAGCCGCGGUAAGACGGAGGAUGCGAGCGUUAUCCGGAUUUCUUGGGGUUAACGGGUGCGUAGGGGGUUACUUAAGUCAGCGGUGAAAGCUUGUGGCUCAACCAUAAAAUUGCCGUUGAAACUGGUUGGCUUGAGUAUAUUUGCGGUAGGCGGAAUGCGUGGUGUAGCGGUGAAAUGCUU